CGAAGCAACGCCGCGUGAGUGAUGAAGGCUUUCGGGUCGUAAAACUCUGUUGUUAGGGAAGAACAAGUGCUAGUUGAAUAAGCUGGCACCUUGACGGUACCUAACCAGAAAGCCACGGCUAACUACGUGCCAGCAGCCGCGGUAAUACGUAGGUGGCAAGCGUUAUCCGGAAUUAUUGGGCGUAAAGCGCGCGCAGGUGGUUUCUUAAGUCUGAUGUGAAAGCCCACGGCUCAACCGUGGAGGGUCAUUGGAAACUGGGAGACUUGAGUGCAGAAGAGGAAAGUGGAAUUCCAUGUGUAGCGGUGAAAUGCGUAGAGAUAUGGAGGAACACCAGUGGCGAAGGCGACUUUCUGGUCUGUAACUGACACUGAGGCGCGAAAGCGUGGGGAGCAAACAGGAUUAGAUACCCUGGUAGUCCACGCCGUAAACGAUGAGUGCUAAGUGUUAGAGGGUUUCCGCCCUUUAGUGCUGAAGUUAACGCAUUAAGCACUCCGCCUGGGGAGUACGGCCGCAAGGCUGAAACUCAAAGGAAUUGACGGGGGCCCGCACAAGCGGUGGAGCAUGUGGUUUAAUUCGA
RNAcentral lists this ribosomal RNA (577 nucleotides) under Bacillus anthracis (anthrax bacterium). RNAcentral describes it as "bacterial SSU rRNA". It matches the Rfam family "Bacterial small subunit ribosomal RNA", at positions 387 to 954 of the family's 1533-position model. The record is from RNAcentral. Lineage: Bacteria; Bacillati; Bacillota; Bacilli; Caryophanales; Bacillaceae.